This 327-nucleotide ribosomal RNA is filed under the name uncultured eukaryote. RNAcentral's name for it is "partial 18S ribosomal RNA". It matches the Rfam family "Eukaryotic small subunit ribosomal RNA", at positions 1470 to 1796 of the family's 1831-position model. The record is from RNAcentral.
CCCUUAGAUGUUCUGGGCCGCACACGCGCUACACUGAAGGAGGCAGCGUGUACUCCUGGAUCGAAAGAUUUGGGUAACCCGCGAAUCUCCUUCGUGCUAGGGAUUGAGGUUUGCAAUUAUCCUUCAUGAACGAGGAAUUCCCAGUAAGUGCAAGUCAUAAGCUUGCGCUGACUACAUCCCUGCCCUUUGUACACACCGCCCGUCGCUACUACCGAUUGAAUGAUUUAGUGAGGACUUCGGACUGGGACCGAUGCGGCUUUCGGGCUGCGUCGGUAUUCUGGAAAGAUGUCCAAACUGUAUCAUUUAGAGGAAGUAAAAGUCGUANCA